AUGAUGUAUAAAUAUGAAUUUAAAGCAAAGGUCAAAAUCUAGAACGUCCAAUUAACCUAUGACCUUGACCUCAAUUUCAAGGUCAUAGACUAAACAUCUCAAAUCAAAAGACACUAGUUCCUUAAUAUGUAUGGUUCAUGAGUAAUAUCACUUUACGCAUAAUUCUAAAUAUAAGAGGGGCGAAAACUCCCAUUUAUUGUCUACACACCCUUGCAACCAAAAUUUAUAAGUUACGACAUGUCGCAACUAACAAUUUAGUAAAAAUAAUUUGUCGAUAUCUUAUAAGGUUAAUGAAAAUAAGUGAAAAUAAGCCAAAAUCAAAAUUUAGAAUUUGACCUUGACCUUUGACCUUGACCUAAUUUUCAUUUUUUUGGACCAAGGAUCUUAAAUCAAAAGACCCUAGGUCUCUAUCACUUAUGGUUUACCAGUUAGAAAUGCAUAUCACUUAUAUCAUAUAUAAAAGGGGGAUAACUCUCAUAUGGAGUCUCCGGAUAGCUUCGGUCAAAAUGAAACAGAACAUCCUGAGGAUAUAACGAGCAAUUUGGAAAAAUAAAUUUGUCGGUUUCUUAUACGGUUGCGAAGGAGUAGUAGCCACAAGAAAAAACAGUGUUCGGGGAGAUAACUCUUACAAGGUAAAGUUUUUUGUUACGCGGUGUCAGUUUCAGAAGCGUAUUAACUGUUCGAUAUCAUAUACCAUAUAUCUAAGCGACAUCUUGCGAAACAAAAAAAACAGCGAAGGAAAAAAAAGUUGGCGGAAGAAAAAAAAAAAAAAUAAUAAAUAAUAAUAAAAACCAAUUGUUCAAAGAACAAUUGAAGGUCUUUCAACCAAUAAAGAUCUAUUUUGAUAUGAAAAUAUUAAAAUUCAGUUGAAAAUGUCAGUUCCUAUGGCUU
This 891-nucleotide long non-coding RNA is filed under the name Mytilus galloprovincialis (Mediterranean mussel). Lineage: Eukaryota; Metazoa; Mollusca; Bivalvia; Mytilida; Mytilidae. The record is from RNAcentral.